GAUGAAGAACGCAGCGAAAUGCGAUACUUAGUGUGAAUUGCAGAAUUCAGUGAAUCAUCGAAUCUUUGAACGCACAUUGCACCUCUCGGUAUUCCGGGAGGUAUGCCUGUUCGAGCGUCAUUUGUACCCUCAAGCUCUGCUUGGUGUUGGGUGUUUGUUCCGCCUCUGUGUGUGAACUCGCCUCAAAACAAUUGGCAGCCGGCGUACUUGUUUCGGAGCGCAGCACAUUUUGCGAUCCAGAUCAACGUACAGCGGCAUCCAAGAAGCCUUAUUUAACGCUCUUGACCUCGGAUCAGGUAGGGAUACCCGCUGAACUUAAGCAUAUCAAUAAGCGGAGGA
Molecule: unclassified non-coding RNA, 339 nt
Filed under: soil metagenome
Description: partial contains 5.8S ribosomal RNA, internal transcribed spacer 2, and large subunit ribosomal RNA
Rfam family: 5.8S ribosomal RNA (bases 1-120)
Source: RNAcentral